AGCUGGCAGCCACGCAGCACGUUGCAGGUGGAUGCCGCAUUGCACUGGGAGUAGAAAUUUAAAAUGAUUACAAACCCAUCUUCCAGGGAGGACAUGUGUAGAGUCCGGGAAACCCUGCUCCAACGUUGAGUCUGGGACUAUGGACCGUGGAGUGCCUUUGUGCUUCCUUGUACUUGUUGAACUCCUUGUGCACAAAACCAUAGCUCAGUGUGGCACCAUUUUGCCAAUCUCAUGCUUGGAGGCUCAAGGCUGAUUCAUGGGAAUUUGAGAAAUACAAGUCAAUCUGUUCCCAAUGUACUUUUAUUAAUGAAUACUCUGUUGCCAAUUGAAUUUUUUUUUUUUUUUUUUUGGACAGGCAGAGUUAGACAGUGAAAGAGAGACAGAGAAAAAGGUCUUCCUUUUUUCCAUUGGUUAACCCCCCAAGUGGCUGCUAUGGCUGGCGUGCUGCGGCCAGCAUGCUGCGCCGAUCCGAAGCCAGGAACCAGGUGCUUCCUCCUGGUCUCCUUGGGCCAUCCUCCACUGCACUCCUGGGCCACAGCAGAGAGCUGGACUGGAAGAGGAGCAACCGGGACAGAACUGGUGCCCCAACUGGGACUAGAACCCAGUGUGCCGGUGCCACAGGCAGAGGAUUAGCCAAGUAAGCCAUGGCGCCGGCGAUUUUUUAUUAUCUUUCAAAUGCCUCAAACUCCAAGUGGCCAUUGUAGUCCCAUUCCAACCUGUAUCACUCCUUCACCUACAGACUGAACCUGUGCCAGAUGCCAGGAGGAAGACAAGUGGGCCAUGCUUGGAUCGGUGCCACCGGGGCUGGGCAGUGGUUCUUCUGGGAACAGUCAGACUUUGGAACAAGCCAGAGUUUUCUGGAGAGAUACAAGGAAAAAGAAAAUGAAGCCAUGGUUAUUAUCAAAGUCUUCAUCAAGGCAAAGGGGAAAAAAUUAGUGGUACUUCUAUGCCAGGAAAGAUUUCUGCCAACCUUGGAAGUGUCUCCUGACUUACGAGUGUAAGCACAGAGCAGAUAUGAGCUUGUCUACAAGAAGAGAACUUUAUGAUCUACAGUUUGGCUUAAACAUUACCGUUGAGUCUAGCAGUAAACAAGUCAUAUCAGGCAAAGGUAAAACUCUCUAGUAACACACACCAGGGCUACCACAGCCCACGCCUCUGGUUCUGACAACAUGGCUAAGUGAAACCAGGACCAUGGUGAUUGUUUUGGCUGUAGAAUGGAGUGCUGGGAUCCCUGAUAAAGAUACCCAGAUGAUACGGAACUUCAUUGAAGUUGUGCUGAAUUUAAUGUGGCUUGAAAUUCACAGAUCCACAGGAUUUAUAGUCAUCUCAGAAAGAUUUACCACACUGGCACCAGAGCAUGAAGAGAAUUAGAAAAUGAAGCCAACUGUUGCAGGGAAUUUUAACAUGUGAAAAAGACUUGAUUCUGGCAGUCCUAGGUUUUGUCUGAAGCAAGUAUCUGAGUGGUUUCCUACCCUCCAAAGGCUUUCAUUUAAAUCAAGGAAAAUGAUCUUCUUUGGGGAGAAACUGUGUCAGAGGAGUAACAGAGAUUUAAAUGGGGGAAGAAAAUUGAUCUUGAAAAUGUAAAAGAAAAUGGAACAUAACCAGAGAAACCUGAAAAUGGUUCUUGAAUCUGUGCAAGGCAAGCAGUUGAAAGGAUCUAGGAUCAGGCUGAUCUGGGAGCUUGAAGAUUGCAGAAAAGGAGAGGGGGCAACAGAAACAGGCAUAUAAAGAGCAAAGAAGGGAUCCAGGUCCCGUCUGUCACUUGCUUAUCCAGCUCUGCUUAGAUAGCGCCCGGUAUGGCCACUACUUUCACUCCAUAAGCAGUAUGAUUCCACCAUCCAGAAAUCCAUUAAUAUUAAUCAUCUAAAAUAAUCCACAGGAAUGGAAUAGCAAAAUAGUCAAGGAAAUACAAUAGAGAAAAUAUCAGAUGAUUCCAUUCGGAAUUAUGAAAAAACUCACAAUGUGUCCUCAUGCAAGUGUCACACGUUGCUCAAGGUACUAUGUGGUUUUGCAUUAAGAAAAAGUAAACAGCCUGACCUUGUGGUAAGGGAGAAGAGAACUAGGACCACAUGGGAAAAUUCAGGUGGCCUAGAUGGGCUCAGCCAUUGCUAAGAUAACAAUCAGGAUUAUGAGCCAUUUAUUGAUUGCUUGCUCAUGAUUGUUAUUAACUACAUGUUUGACUAGAAUGUACUGAUAAACUGAAUCCUUUAAAUUAUAUUUUAUACUUUUUUCCUUUGGAUUAGAUAUUUACCAAAACACAUAAGACUUGAACUUCUGGAGGGCUCACAAUUUUUUGUUAAAAAAACAAAACAAAAACUUACAUGACUGACCACUUGACUCAUACGUCUUCAUUUAUCAGACAUUUAUUGAGCUGCUACUGUGAGCCAGGCAUUUCUGGCAUACAUGGGACACAGCCAUGAGUAACAUCCUUGUGCUUACGUUCUAAUGAAGAAAGGCAGGUGAAUUCGGUUCUUAGGGCUACUGCUACCAAUGACCACAAACUGGGUGAUUUAAAACAAUGGAAAUAUUGUUCUGGAGACCAAAUGUCCAAAGAGUUCUUGAGGGAAGAAGUUCAAAAUCAAGGUGUUCCCAGAAGGGCUCUCCCUCUGGAGAGUGCAGAGGAGAAGCUGCUUUUUGGCCUCUUCGGCUUCCGGUAGCUGUCAGCAUUCCUUGCCUGUGGGCACACAUUCCAACCUCCAUGUCGUGGGUACGCUGUUGCCUCCUCUUCUGCCUGUGUUGUCUCCCUUUGCCCCUCUUAUAAGGACACUUGUGACAGCAAGUGUCUAUCCAGAUCAUACCCAGUUUCAUCACAUCAUCCUCAUCAUAAUCACAUCUGUUUCCAUCUGAGUAAUAGUCUCUCCACCCCCGACAGACACACACAUACAUACAGCAGUGUUCACAGGUUUCCUUGAUUAGGACGCGAACAUGCCUUUGGAGGCCACCAUCUAACCUCUCUGUACAAUAUGCAGUAAGUACACAAACAGGUGGAGAUUACUACCAGAGCCAUGAGUAAACAAAGCAGGGAGAAGUGACAAGAGUGACAUGGAUACUGCUUUCACUAAAGGGGCUAGACAGGGCCUCUGUAAGACUUACUUGAAGUAGAUGAAGGAAAAGUCCUGCAGGCAGGGAUAAGAGCAAGUGCAAAGACUCUAGAGCUAGUUGUAUUUGAAGAGGAGAGAGCAGAGAAGAGAGCAGCGUCGUCAGACCUGUGGGGUGGGGCUGGCAUUUAAUGCAGCUGUUAAGAUGACACUAAGGACACCCACAUCCCCUUUCAGUGUUCCUGGAUUCAAGUCCUGGCUCUGCUUUGGAUUCCAGCUUCCUGCUAAUGUGAACCCUGGGAGGAAGCGAGUGAUGGCUCAAAUACUUGGGUCCCUGCCACCCAUGUGGGAGACCUGAAUUGAAUUCCUAGUUCCAGGCUUUGGCCUGGCCAAAUCCCUGCAGUUGAUUUGGGGAGUGAACCAGCUGAUAGAAGAUCUCUGUCUCUGUCAUGCUGCCUUUCAAAUAAAAAUAAAUAAAUAUUAGUGGACA
This is a long non-coding RNA of Oryctolagus cuniculus (rabbit), 3528 nucleotides long. The record is from Ensembl. NCBI's taxonomy places the organism in Eukaryota, Metazoa, Chordata, Mammalia, Lagomorpha, Leporidae.